GACGAACGCUGGCGGCGUGCUUAACACAUGCAAGUCGAACGGAAAGGCCCUGCUUUUGUGGGGUGCUCGAGUGGCGAACGGGUGAGUAACACGUGAGUAACCUGCCCUUGACUUUGGGAUAACUUAAGGAAACUGGGGCUAAUACCGGAUAGGAGCUCCUGCUGCAUGGUGGGGGUUGGAAAGUUUCGGCGGUUGGGGAUGGACUCGCGGCUUAUCAGCUUGUUGGUGGGGUAGUGGCUUACCAAGGCUUUGACGGGUAGCCGGCCUGAGAGGGUGACCGGCCACAUUGGGACUGAGAUACGGCCCAGACUCCUACGGGAGGCAGCAGUGGGGAAUAUUGCACAAUGGGCGGAAGCCUGAUGCAGCAACGCCGCGUGCGGGAUGACGGCCUUCGGGUUGUAAACCGAUUUCGCCUGUGACGAAGCGUGAGUGACGGUAAUGGGUAAAGAAGCACCGGCUAACUACGUG
This 468-nucleotide ribosomal RNA is filed under the name uncultured bacterium. RNAcentral's name for it is "partial 16S ribosomal RNA". It matches the Rfam family "Bacterial small subunit ribosomal RNA", at positions 28 to 507 of the family's 1533-position model. The record is from RNAcentral.